Molecule: ribosomal RNA, 458 nt
Filed under: uncultured bacterium
Lineage: Bacteria
Description: partial 16S ribosomal RNA
Rfam family: Bacterial small subunit ribosomal RNA
Source: RNAcentral
CCUACGGGAGGCAGCAGUGAGGAAUAUUGGUCAAUGGGCGAGAGCCUGAACCAGCCAAGUCGCGUGAGGGAGUACUGCCCUAUGGGUUGUAAACCUCUUUUGUCGGGGAGCAAAAGCCGGACGUGUCCGGCUGUGAGAGUACCCGAAGACAAAGCAUCGGCUAACUCCGUGCCAGCAGCCGCGGUAAUACGGAGGAUGCGAGCGUUAUCCGGAUUUAUUGGGUUUAAAGGGUGCGCAGGCGGAUUUUUAAGUCAGCGGUCAAAUCGUGGGGCUCAACCCCAUCCAGCCGUUGAAACUGGGGAUCUAGAGACGGCGAGAAGUACGCGGAAUGCGCGGUGUAGCGGUGAAAUGCAUAGAUAUCGCGCAGAACUCCGAUUGCGAAGGCAGCGUACCGGCGCCGGACUGACGCUGAGGCACGAAAGCGUGGGUAUCGAACAGGAUUAGAUACCCUAGUAGUC